Molecule: long non-coding RNA, 1043 nt
Filed under: Phascolarctos cinereus (koala)
Lineage: Eukaryota; Metazoa; Chordata; Mammalia; Diprotodontia; Phascolarctidae
Description: lncRNA (ENSPCIG00000020286.2)
Source: RNAcentral
UCAAGAUACUGGAGUAGUUUGCCAUUUCCUUCUCCAGCUCAUUUUACAUCUGAGACAAACAGGAUUAAGUGACUUGCCCAGGGCUACACAGUUAGUAAGUAUCUGAGGCCAGAUUUGAACACAAGAUGAGCCUUCUUGACUCCAGGCCUGGCCCUCUAGCCACUUGCUACCUAGCUGCCCCUUAAGAAAACCCUACCUGUUGGUAACAACAGGUUUUCCUUCAGGCAAAGUCUUGAGUGGAAACCACUAUCACUUUCUCUAAAGGAAAAAAAAAUUGUUCUGAGGAUAUUUUUACCUAUUAAUAGGUACAUGGUUCUCUCAAAGAGCAAUAACUCUUUUAGACAGUAACAGCCUUGCUGUUAUAGGUUUACAGCAAUUGCCUGGAUUUUCCCAGGAGUGAUCACUCCCUAGGAAGCAUCAUGGUAUACUCCAGAUCAGAGGUGUCUCGUCUUGAGGUUUUGGGCAUGUUUGGUCGCAGUAGUAAAACCUUGAAUAGGAUACAAAAAGUCUUCUUGAUCUCCAGGAAAAAAAAAUGCCAAAAGAAAAGAAGAAUCCAAGAUACCCAAAGGAAUACUCCUAGUAAUGAAAUUGUCCAUGGCACAAGUUUGGUUACUACAGCAAUAGUCACAUGGUAUGUGGCCAACAUGUAAGACACUUAAGAAAGGCCAUUUUUCUUGUGUCUCUGGAAAGAUUGCGUGGCUCAAAAUGCAGAGGUUUUGAACAAGAUUAUGCAAAUUAAAAAAAAAAAAACCCUUCACUUAGGGCUCUCCAAAAGGAAGAAAGGUGAAUUCUGAUAAAAGUAUAAGAGACUGAUGAUGAAAAAUGUUUUAUUUUUUGUCUCAUAGAUAAAUAUUUGCCAUUUAUUGAAAUGCAAAUGCUAUUUUGUUAGCAAGUUCAGGUCCAAAUGGAAUAAUGAAUUACAUGAAAUGCUUAGAUGUAUUUAAAUUUGUCCUAUUAGAUAUAUUAUUUAAGAUACAGUAGUUGGUUCCAACACAAUGGAAUCAUGCCGUAUGAAUUCUAAUAAAACGACCACUUCAUUUGCA